This 64-nucleotide non-coding RNA is filed under the name unclassified sequences. RNAcentral's name for it is "DUF3800-IX RNA". It matches the Rfam family "DUF3800-IX RNA". Rfam says of the family: Actinobacteria, Firmicutes (1 example), Nitrospirae, Proteobacteria, Verrucomicrobia (1 example). Nearby to DUF3800 The record is from Rfam by way of RNAcentral.
GCUUCCAGGCCAAAUUGUGGCGUUUAUCGCCGCGUUUCCGAAAGGAAUAGGCUUGGGAGUUUUU